Molecule: Y RNA, 102 nt
Filed under: Propithecus coquereli (Coquerel's sifaka)
Lineage: Eukaryota; Metazoa; Chordata; Mammalia; Primates; Indriidae
Description: Y RNA (ENSPCOG00000004293.1)
Rfam family: Y RNA
About the family: Y RNAs are components of the Ro ribonucleoprotein particle (Ro RNP), in association with Ro60 and La proteins.
Source: Rfam by way of RNAcentral
GGCUGGCCCUAGUGCAGUGGUGUUUACAACUAAUUGAUCACAACCAGUUACAGAUUCCUUUGUUUCUUCUCCACUCCCACUGCUUCACUCGACUAGCCUUAA